RNAcentral lists this long non-coding RNA (1728 nucleotides) under Pongo abelii (Sumatran orangutan). RNAcentral describes it as "lincRNA". Lineage: Eukaryota; Metazoa; Chordata; Mammalia; Primates; Hominidae. The record is from RNAcentral.
UCCUUUGCUGAUAGGGCCCGUGUGCUGAUAGUUGAUUCAGUGAAUAUAUCUAGCAGUGAUAGCUCAUGGGCUCCAAAGGUCAGAUAUCUUAUUCUCUAUGCUGAAACCCUUGUUGCUUUAAGAAAACAGGAUUUUAAUAGGAAUCACAUGCAGAUUGACUACAGGGAGCCAAGCCGUAGUGGAAGAAGCAAAGUUGGUGGUUUUGGAGACGGACGUCUAUUUAUCCAUACUGGGACAAAAAUGAAGGUUAUUGAAAAGAAUCAUGCUUGGUGGAAGAAGUAAUUACAUUUUUUUUCAAAUCUCAGAGGAAUAAUGCUUUUAUAUUUCCUGCGAUGACCCGAUUUGCACUACGAUAUGCUCCCUUAAAUGUGAUUUAAACAGAAGAGAGGACCACCCCGCCAACAAAAUGUCCAGGUCCUAUUCCAUGGAACCCAUGAAUAUGUUGCCCUACAUUGCAAAAGGGACUUUACAGAUGUCGGUAAGUUAAGGCCAUUGAGAUGAAUGAUUCUGGAUUGUCUGGUGGGCCCAAUGUGAUCAAAAGUUUCCUUAGAAGAGUUAGAGAAGAUUUGAUAAUGGAAGCAGAAUCAAAGAGAGAUUUGAAGAUGCUGCUGUCUUUGGAGAGAAUGGCCAGGAGGCAAGGAACACAAGCAGCCCCUAGAAGUUGGAAAAGGUUUCAAAAGGACUGGUUGAAAACUAAAAUCUUAAAUCAAUUCAUGGUGUCAGGAAUGGAGCAGGAUAGAGAUCGUUCCUGAAGAUAAAAGUACAUGAAAACAUAUGCACUUGUGCAUACAUGGUGCUGCUUAAUGAACAUAUGUCAUUGUGGAAGGAGAGGAGAAAUCCAGGCUUGUUCAUUUUUAAGAGGACCCUUCUGCUGAGUGGAACCUGGCCAUGUUUGAUCAAUGUGGCUAAAGCUUGUGAACUGACUCUUCUACUCCUGGUACUUACUUAUACCAUUUUUUCCCACCAAGGAACAUCCUUAUCAGAUUUUAGUAGAAUCACCUCCUUUCACUCUUAGUGGUGCCAUUCCCACUCUGUCAGAGAUGAGCAGCCUUAUUAAUCAUACUCAGGACCAGCACUACCAACAAUCUGUCACUGUGGCCAAUGGCAUGCAUCAUCCAUUAUAACUAAAAAUUCACCCCAAGACCAAGACCUGAUGGGGUCAGGAUGGCACUGCAUCCUGCAGCACAAAGCAACAGAAACCAGUGGUUAUGCCUGUCCUUUCUAUCUUUUAUUCUUUCUUUUUUUUUUUUUUUUUUGGUCAUAGCUCAAAGCUUAUUGAGUAUAAAAGACAUUUUCCCUUUAAAAAAUGCUUACUUGAUGUUAUCUCCUUCACGCUCUGGGUCGAGCUCAUUUGGUGAAGGGUCAUCACACGCUCCCUUUGUGAUAAUGUCAGUGAGUCAAUAGAGUGGAUUGGGGAUUUCGGUUUCUAUCUGAAUUUUGAAGAUCUGCUUUUCUUGCAAUAUUUAACCAGAAAAUAUGGAUUGCAGCCUGUGUUUGCCUGCCAAAGUGACUCUUCCAUUUUAUUAUAGUUUAUUUUCCUUCAUUUCUAGGAUGAGUUCUACAAUAGACAUAGACAGGGAAUAGAAUUAGUGUGAGCCAAUCAGAUCCUAUUAGCAUAAGCAAUGCCCAUAAGGUGAUCAUGAUGUACAAGGCCAAUGCUAGUACUCUUGGGUGCAAUAAUUUAUUGCAAUCAUAAAAUUUAUGUAAAAUAAAUAAUAUUUUUAAUAA